This 453-nucleotide ribosomal RNA is filed under the name uncultured bacterium. Its description in RNAcentral is "bacterial SSU rRNA". It matches the Rfam family "Bacterial small subunit ribosomal RNA", at positions 335 to 778 of the family's 1533-position model. The record is from RNAcentral.
ACUCCUACGGGAGGCAGCAGUGGGGAAUAUUGCACAAUGGGCGCAAGCCUGAUGCAGCCAUGCAGCGUGUGUGAAGAAGGCCUUCGGUUGUAAAGCACUUUCAGUCGUGAGGAAGGUAGUGUAGUUAAUAGCUGCAUUAUUUGUACGUUAGCGACAGAAGAAGCACCGGCUAACUCCGUGCCAGCAGCCGCGGUAAUACGGAGGGUGCGAGCGUUAAUCGGAAUUACUGGGCGUAAAGCGCAUGCAGGUGGUUUGUUAAGUUCAGAUGUGAAAGCCCGGGGCGUCAACCUCGGAAUAGCAUUUGAAACUGGCAGACUAGAGUACUGUAGAGGGGGUAGAAUUUCAGGUGUAGCGGUGAAAUGCGUAGAGAUCUGAAGGAAUAACCGGUGGCGAAGGCGGCCCCCUGGACAGAUACUGACACUCAGAUGCGAAAGCGUGGGGAGCAAACAGGAA